GAGGUGGGGAUGACGUCAAAUCAUCAUGCCCCUUAUGACCUGGGCUACACACGUGCUACAAUGGGCGGUACAAAGGGUCGCGAACCCGCGAGGGGGAGCCAAUCCCAAAAAGCCGCUCUCAGUUCGGAUUGCAGGCUGCAACUCGCCUGCAUGAAGCCGGAAUCGCUAGUAAUCGCGGAUCAGCAUGCCGCGGUGAAUACGUUCCCGGGCCUU
RNAcentral lists this ribosomal RNA (213 nucleotides) under uncultured Anoxybacillus sp. Its description in RNAcentral is "partial 16S ribosomal RNA". It matches the Rfam family "Bacterial small subunit ribosomal RNA", at positions 1170 to 1382 of the family's 1533-position model. Lineage: Bacteria; Bacillati; Bacillota; Bacilli; Caryophanales; Anoxybacillaceae. The record is from RNAcentral.